RNAcentral lists this ribosomal RNA (253 nucleotides) under uncultured bacterium. Its description in RNAcentral is "partial 16S ribosomal RNA". It matches the Rfam family "Bacterial small subunit ribosomal RNA", at positions 524 to 776 of the family's 1533-position model. The record is from RNAcentral.
UACGUAGGUGGCAAGCGUUGUCCGGAAUCAUUGGGCGUAAAGAGCGUGUAGGCGGCCCGAUAAGUCCGCUGUGAAAGUCCAGGGCUCAACCCUGGAAUGCCGGUGGAUACUGUCGGGCUCGAAUCCGGAAGAGGUGAGUGGAAUUCCUGGUGUAGCGGUGAAAUGCGCAGAUAUCAGGAGGAACACCAAUGGCGAAGGCAGCUCACUGGGACGGUAUUGACGCUGAGACGCGAAAGCGUGGGGAGCAAACAGG